CCUACGGGUGGCAGCAGUGGGGAAUAUUGCACAAUGGGGGAAACCCUGAUGCAGCGACGCCGCGUGAGUGAAGAAGUAUUUCGGUACGUAAAGCUCUAUCAGCAGGGAAGAAAAUGACGGUACCUGACUAAGAAGCCCCGGCUAACUACGUGCCAGCAGCCGCGGUAAUACGUAGGGGGCAAGCGUUAUCCGGAUUUACUGGGUGUACAGGGAGCGUAGACGGCAGCGCAAGUCUGGAGGGAAAUCCCAUGGCUUAACCAUGGAACUGCUUUGGAAACUGUGCAGCUAGAGUGCAGGAGAGGUAAGCGGAAUUCCUAGUGUAGCGGUGAAAUGCGUAGAUAUUAGGCGGAACACCAGUGGCGACGGCGGCUUACUGGACUGUAACUGACGUUGAGGCUCGAAAGCGUGGGGAGCAAACAGGAUUAGAUACCCGUGUAGUC
This 440-nucleotide ribosomal RNA is filed under the name uncultured bacterium. RNAcentral describes it as "partial 16S ribosomal RNA". It matches the Rfam family "Bacterial small subunit ribosomal RNA", at positions 338 to 795 of the family's 1533-position model. The record is from RNAcentral.